AUGCCUCCUAUCUAUGAUGAUUAUGGUGAUGGCAUGUAUGCUAUAUUGAAUAAUGAUAACCAUGAAACUUGUCAUCAUGAUUUUAAUUCUCAAUCUCAUGAUAGUUAUUUUGUUGAGUUUGCUCCCACUACUAUUCAUGAGAAUAAAUUUGCUCAUGUCGAGAGUAACAAAAUUUCUAUGCUUAUGCAUCAUGAAAAGAAUGCUUUAUGUUAUGGUUAUAUUGUUGAAUUUCUUCAUGAUGCUACUGAAUAUUAUUAUGAGGGAGGAACUUAUGCUUGUAGGAAUUGCAAUAAUAUCAAGUUUCCUCUCUAUGUGUUGAAAGUUUUGAAGUUAUGCUUGUUUUGCCUUCCUAUGCUAGUUGAUUCUUGUUCCCAUAAAUUGUUUGCUCACAAAAUCCCUAUGCAUAGAAAGUGGGUUAGAACUAAAUGUGCUAGUCAUAUGCUUCAUGAUGCUCUUGUUAUGUUUCAAUUCUUAUCUUUUCUGUGA
RNAcentral lists this ribosomal RNA (486 nucleotides) under Triticum aestivum (bread wheat). Its description in RNAcentral is "partial small subunit ribosomal RNA". Lineage: Eukaryota; Viridiplantae; Streptophyta; Magnoliopsida; Poales; Poaceae. The record is from RNAcentral.